GGUGCUCAGCCCAAAUUUUUAACCCAACAUUGUAGAUGGAAGGUGCUCAGCCCUAAUUUUCAACCCAACAUUGUAGAUGGAAGGUGCUCAGCCCUAAUUUUCAACCCAACAUUGUAGAUGGAAGGUGCUCAGCCCUAAUUGUCAACCCGACAUUGUAGAUGGAAGGUGCUCAGCCCUAAUUUUCAACCCAACAUUGUAGAUGGAAGGUGCUCAGCCCUAAUUUUCAACCCAACAUGGAAGGUGCUCAGCCCUAAUUUUCAACCCAACAUGGAAGGUGCUCAGCCCUAAUUUUCAACCCAACAUUGUAGAUGGAAGGUGCUCAGCCCUAAUUUUCAACCCAACAUUGUAGAUGGAAGGUGCUCAGCCCUAAUUUUCAACCCAACAUUGUAGAUGGAAGGUGCUCAGCCCUAAUUUUCAACCCAACAUUGUAGAUGGAAGGUGCUCAGCCCUAAUUUUCAACCCAACAUUGUAGAUGGAAGGUGCUCAGCCCUAAUUUUCAACCCAACAUUGUAGAUGGAAGGUGCUCAGCCCUAAUUUUCAACCCAACAUGGAAGGUGCUCAGCCCUAAUUUUCAACCCAACAUGGAAGGUGCUCAGCCCUAAUUUUCAACCCAACAUGGAAGGUGCUCAGCCCUAAUUUUCAACCCAACAUGGAAGGUGCUCAGCCCUAAUUUUCAACCCAACAUGGAAGGUGCUCAGCCCUAAUUUUCAACCCAACAUUGUAGAUGGAAGGUGCUCAGCCCUAAUUUUCAACCCAACAUUGUAGAUGGAAGGUGCUCAGCCCUAAUUUUCAACCCAACAUUGUAGAUGGAAGGUGCUCAGCCCUAAUUUUCAACCCAACAUUGUAGAUGGAAGGUGCUCAGCCCUAAUUUUCAACCCAACAUGGAAGGUGCUCAG
Molecule: long non-coding RNA, 896 nt
Organism: Oncorhynchus keta (chum salmon)
Lineage: Eukaryota; Metazoa; Chordata; Actinopteri; Salmoniformes; Salmonidae
Exons: 7
Source: RefSeq, a predicted model, not a curated record